AAAGAGCAUUUGAAGUGACAGACACCAAGCACCUGCCCCGUUUUUGGAAAGCAGAUUAUUCUCUGGCACCUGCUCCAUCCAACAGGUCUUAGCCUCAGACCUGCUGGCAUGCAGAUCACCUCUUGCAAAGUGACACAGGUGCAGGGGUUCCUGGUGCACCUGUUCUGACCCAACUGAAAGCUGAAACAGUUAGGGCUCACCCAGAAACUCUCGCCUGGCUCUGCUUCUUCCAUCCAGGACCUUGCUAGGUAACUCCAGAGGAAUUGAGAAAUUGCCAGGGAGUGGAAUCAAUAGCAGGACAAAACCUUCACGUUGGGAAUGCUUUGAAGCUUUCCUCUGCAGCUCAGCAAUGCCCUUCC
RNAcentral lists this long non-coding RNA (359 nucleotides) under Sus scrofa (pig). RNAcentral describes it as "lncRNA (ENSSSCG00070014038.1)". The record is from RNAcentral. Lineage: Eukaryota; Metazoa; Chordata; Mammalia; Artiodactyla; Suidae.